Etheostoma cragini (Arkansas darter) is the source of this 505-nucleotide long non-coding RNA. RefSeq lists it as uncharacterized. The record is from RefSeq and is a predicted model, not a curated record. Lineage: Eukaryota; Metazoa; Chordata; Actinopteri; Perciformes; Percidae. The transcript is spliced from 3 exons.
GCGUGUGUGUGUGUGUUUUACGCACACGUCGGAUGCCUCACCAGCGCCUACAAAGGAUCAAGUGUCGUCUGAGACAAAAAGGCAAAGAGACGGUAACGCCACGGCUGAUAGCAGACCCCAGUGUUGGCUAACAUGAAGGCAGCCGUUCGUCCUUCUGCUGACCCACAUCUUAUCUGGACGCCAUGCAGUAGCUGAUUGCCUGCUGGAUCAACAUGCUAAAGCAGAUUACAGAGCAGCAGACGUGAAGAGGCCUCUAGAACACCCACGUUCCUCUGCUUUUCAAAGCUUACAGCACAGUCUUGCUCUCUCUAUCACCUCAUGCAUUUGUUACUCUAUUAAUGUUUUUAUUGUUGUAAUGUUCUAUUAAUUUUAGCUGAGAGUACGCCUCUGCACUCGUCUGUCACUAAACUGCCUCAUGAUUACUGUAAAUGUGGAGUCAUGAGCCCUGCAGCACUGGCUAAUCCUCAGAUAAAAAGGCUAAGUAUUUGGAUUAAAAAAACACCUA